GUCGAACGGACUCAUAUUGAAACCUAGUGAUUUAUGAGUUAGUGGCGGACGGGUGAGUAACGCGUGGAUAACCUGCCGUAUACCGGGGGAUAACACUUGGAAAUAGGUGCUAAUACCGCAUAAGCGCACGGCUCCGCAUGGGGCAGUGUGAAAAACUCCGGUGGUAUACGAUGGAUCCGCGUCUGAUUAGCUAGUUGGCGGGGUAACGGCCCACCAAGGCAGCGAUCAGUAGCCGGCCUGAGAGGGUGGACGGCCACAUUGGGACUGAGACACGGCCCAAACUCCUACGGGAGGCAGCAGUGGGGAAUAUUGCACAAUGGGGGAAACCCUGAUGCAGCGACGCCGCGUGAGUGAAGAAGUAUCUCGGUACGUAAAGCUCUAUCAGCAGGGAAGAAAAUGACGGUACCUGACUAAGAAGCCCCGGCUAACUACGUGCCAGCAGCCGCGGUAAUACGUAGGGGGCAAGCGUUAUCCGGAUUUACUGGGUGUAAAGGGAGCGUAGACGGCAGCACAAGUCUGGAGUGAAAUCCCGGGGCUUAACCCCGGAACUGCUUUGGAAACUGUGCGGCUGGAGUGCAGGAGGGGUAAGCGGAAUUCCUAGUGUAGCGGUGAAAUGCGUAGAUAUUAGGAGGAACACCGGUGGCGAAGGCGGCUUACUGGACUGUAACUGACGUUGAGGCUCGAAAGCGUGGGGAGCAAACAGGAUUAGAUACCCUGGUAGUCCACGCCGUAAACGAUGAUUACUAGGUGUCGGGGGAUCAAGGUCCU
This 768-nucleotide ribosomal RNA is filed under the name uncultured bacterium. Its description in RNAcentral is "bacterial SSU rRNA". It matches the Rfam family "Bacterial small subunit ribosomal RNA", at positions 61 to 839 of the family's 1533-position model. The record is from RNAcentral.